UAAAAUUCGUAAAUUGUAUGCACGUAAGCCCUGUUUGGAUAUAAAUACAGAUGCCACCUCCAUUUGUGUUCAAUUUGCAGCGGCAUCCAUUUACAGUUUGGUCAACUAGUUUGGGGGACCUUUCACAUGUGCUUGCACAGAUUAGGGUUUCACUAAUUGUGAUCGCAACAUGGCACUUUUUAUAAUUGCGGGCAUGUGUAUCGGAUUAAUACAUUCAGCGUCUGCGCAAGGAUCACAACGAUCAUACUACAGCUACAGCGAUAGUUCCUAUAGUGACUAUGGGACAGCCAUUUUGGUUGGCGCCAUAGGACUGUCGUUCAGCAUAUUAUGUCUGAUCUGCAUUUUCGUGGGUCUGAUCUGCGUCUGUGCAAAGAAAUGUUGUCGCAAAACUGUGCAACCAGCUCCUGGUUUAGCAUUUGUUAACGCAGUACCUAGUUAUAUGCCGUAUGGACAGCCAUAUAUUCAUGGUCAACAUGUGAUGCAAAAUCAACCCGGUAUGCAUGGUCAACCAGUCAUGCAUGGUCAACCAGUCAUGCAUGGUCAACCAGUUAUGUCUGGUCAUCCGCAACAGACCUUCAACCCAUCAGCAGCUAGUUAGGGAACAGAUCGGUUCACCUCGAGUGAAAACACUACGCUCACUUCAGAAUUACUAAACAAUGUUUCUUGCUAGUUGAAUACAUAUUUUUUUCGGUGUAAAAUACUGUUAGAACUGAAUUUUCUUUAAACAAUUGUUGUGGCUUUUUCAUUUGUUGCUUCUACGUUUCUGUAUGCCAAUUAUAAGCAGGGGGGCACGCGUAUACGGGAGCUUACCGCGUUUAAGUGAGAAAGUUGUUACAAAACUUCAAAGAUGGCGUCGUUUGUUGGAUUUUCUUAAAGGAAGGGAGGAUAUUUUCACCCGAUGAUGCAGUUUAAAGGGCGAAAAUAAGUGCAUCUUUCGUUGCAGUAUAUGUAAUGAGGAAUUUUACAUCAGGGGAGGAUUGAGAUAUCAUGCCCCAUUCAUGGACCACAUGAGUUUAAAUGUAGAAUAUGCAAGAAAGAACCCUUCAACAAAGCCGGACUAAAACAGCAAAUAACAUAACAAAACAUGUACAGCUGAUGUUUGUAGUGUUUUUGUUUUAUUUAUAAAGUCUACAUAGACACGUCUGGCAUAUAAUUGCUAUGAGUGCUACUUACUUACACGUUUUAUUCCGUAUAUGUCAUGAUGCUAGUUUCUCACUUUGUUAUGAAAAUAAACCAUUAUCUGUGUUACGUCAUUUCUUCCUACGAUGUCUCUGCAUAAAUUUUCAAUUGUAUUCAGCACUUACAUAUAUGAUAAAAAAAGAUUUGGGUCGGAUUUAAUUCGUUAUGCAUUUGACAUAUUAACAUUACUUACGAUUAGAAGGCAAUGUUAGGAACAAACGAAAUAAUCUUUCUAAGUGAACCAAUACUUUAUUCCCUCAAUACAACAGGCAUAAAUAAUAUGUAUUCACAUAGGUAUAAAAGAGAAAAAACAUACAUGUAUAAAAUUAUAUUGAUCACUUCUACUGAAAUCAUAUCGUGUAUUGCAUUUGCACAAAUCUUUCUAUCCACUACAAAUUCACUUUUUGCGAUUAUAAUAUAAUGACCAACUCAGAACUGGUUUAAAAGAAGGUCGUCCAAAAUGUGUCACAUCAAAGUCACAUACAUGUAUCAGUAUCGUUAUGGUAAAACGCGUCAAAUGUAAUUGUAUUAAAUAAACAAUUCAUAUUUAAGUAUCAUAAAAAACAUCCACAGAUAUGCAUCUUCUAAGCAGAUGUCAGGUAUUCCAAAUUGCUUCAUGUAUUCCGAAUCGAAACAAUGGCAGUAUUUGGUUACAUCAACCUUAUACUAGUAUCAAACCGGCUUUACCCUCUUCUGUUUUUCAUUACACUUUUAUUGCACGUAUAUGUGAUUGUUUGGCAAGGUACUUCGACGUAAUCUUUUUUGUUUGAUUGGUGGGUUUUCAUGUACCUAUCGCAUUCUAGAGCGGUACACACUUCGUUACGCCGUCUUUUUUAAUCUUGGCAUCCUCAACAUAUAUAACUGGCGUCUAGAUAUCUGGAAAAAGUAAGCAUAGUAUUCCGUUGGAUGCAUAUUCAAACAUAAGUAUGUCCAUAUGUGUUAAAAUAAACAGGUAAGAAUUACACUGUGUUUAUAAUACCGUCGAAUGUCUUAUAUUACACACACUAAAUGUUAGCGUUAAGUACGCGAUAAAACAUAUAAUAAUACAAAUAUAUAAUAAAACAAUUAAUAGAAAAAAGAAAACUCUUGAUUUCUUCAAAUGAAAAUGUUUUCCAAGACAUUCGCACCAAUGCGGAAUUCAUUCACGAAAGUUAUUUCGCAUAAAACCUUGUAACAUAGGAAAGAGCUGUUAAUCAUUUGGAAGUCAGGUCCCAAAAUGUGCUUAAAAGGAAGUUUAGUUCCAAAAAUGGGGGUUAACCCGUUAUAAUUAGGCAUUAAAUGAAUUAAUAGACAUAGCAACGCGUCGAGAUAAUAAAAUAUUCGUGAUUUAUGUUACAUUUUACUGUUCACAUGCACAAAUACUGUUUAUUAUGAGAGAAAAUGAUAUUCGAACAUCCAACAUCUCGAAGGUCAAGAAAUUAAACAACACAUUUGUCGACGGUUUUGCUUCAAUAACUUUUUUAUUCCGACGUCUACGGUUUUGAAACAAAAAACCGAGGGGAGCACAAACACCGUAGAGCCGAAAGAGCUUAUUCAUUUAAAAGAAAUAUAAAUAUAAACUGGUUUACCGGGUGAAAAUAUCCGCUACUCCUUCACGAAAAACACUUAAACGACGCCAUCUUUGAAGUUUUGCAACAACUCACUUAAACGCGGUAAGCUCCCGUAUACGCGUGCCCCCCUGAAUAAGGGACUUUUAUAUGUGCUAGUAUGUGGACAAUUGCGCAAAUUUGGUCGAUUAUUUAUGACUGUCUGUCCGUCUGUAUGGAACAUGAUUAAACAUUUCAGAAGAA
Molecule: long non-coding RNA, 2969 nt
Organism: Dreissena polymorpha
Lineage: Eukaryota; Metazoa; Mollusca; Bivalvia; Myida; Dreissenidae
Exons: 7
Source: RefSeq, a predicted model, not a curated record